UACGAAGGUGGCAAGCGUUACUCGGAAUUACUAGGCGUAAAGGGCAGGUAGGCGGUUUGAUAAGUCUAUUGUGAAAGCUCCCGGCUUAACCGGGAGAGGUCAAUAGAUACUGUCGAACUUGAGUAUAGGAGAGGGUACUGGAAUUCCUGGUGUAGCGGUGAAAUGCGCAGAGAUCAGGAGGAACACCAAUGGCGAAAGCAGGUACCUGGACUAUUACUGACGCUCAGCUGCGAAAGCUAGGGGAGCAAACAGG
This 253-nucleotide ribosomal RNA is filed under the name uncultured bacterium. Its description in RNAcentral is "partial 16S ribosomal RNA". It matches the Rfam family "Bacterial small subunit ribosomal RNA", at positions 524 to 776 of the family's 1533-position model. The record is from RNAcentral.